Molecule: long non-coding RNA, 13748 nt
Filed under: Solanum tuberosum (potato)
Lineage: Eukaryota; Viridiplantae; Streptophyta; Magnoliopsida; Solanales; Solanaceae
Description: long non-coding RNA (STUB_LNC009414)
Source: RNAcentral
GGAUUAUGAUCCAUCAGAUGAGAAAAAGGCUAUUGAUGAUGCAAAAGCUGGUGUUAAGGGACUUGUUGAUUCUGGAAUAGUCGAGAUUCCAAGAAUUUUCAUUAGGCCACCUCAUGAACUUGCUGAGGAGUUGAAUAUGUGCAAGUCAACUUUACAGGUUCCGGUUGUGGAUCUAAGUGGCAUACAUGUUGAAGAUGGGCGUAAGAAGAUUGUUGAUGAAAUAAGGGAAGCAUCUGAGAAAUGGGGCCUUUUCCAACUGAUAAAUCAUGGGAUUCCUUCUAGUGUUUUGGAAGGAAUGAUUGAUGAGACUCGUAAAUUUCAUGAACAAGAUGUUGAAGUGAAGAAAGAGUACUAUUCGUCUGAUCCAACAGCCAGACAAGUUAGAUAUGAUUGCAAUCUUCAUGUGAACAAAACAAAAGGAAAGAUUGCAAACUGGAAGGAUACAUUAUACAUCUCUGAGCUAGUUUCUGGUCACAUUGAACCUGAAGAAAUACCACAAGUUUGCAGGUAACUCUGUAUUUUCUGCACUUGAAUUUCAAUUCUAUAUCUGUCCUGUUUGAUGCGUACACAGUGUUGAAGUUUUUGUAUUAAAUCUAAGGAUUUAUUGAGUAGAGGUCACUGCCUCAGUACAGUGUUCUAUCUUCAUUUCUAGUUGAUAUAUGGAUACAUGAUGCCAGUAGCAGAUCUAGAGUAUAACUUAGGGAUCACAGGAACUUAGUACCUUUUGCCCAAACCUUGUAUAUAAAUAUUUGACUGUGAAUCCAAUUAUUAAUGCAUAUCAACCUUGUCCUCAUGUAGUAAUCUCUGAUUUUUUCCUUAUGUCCAGGAAAACAUCCGUUGAGUACAUAAAUCAUGUUGUAAAACUAGAAGAUAUUCUUCUUGGCUUACUAUCAGAAGCUCUCGGACUAAAGCCAAACCACUUAAAAGCCACUGAAUGUGACAAAAGACAGUUAAUGGUAUGCCAUUACUACCUGGCAUGCCCACUGCCAGAGCUAACUCUUGGUACCAAUAAGCAUACAGAUCCUGUUUUCGUUACCAUUCUGUUUCAAGAUCAGAAUGGUGGGCUCCAAGUCAUGCGUGAUAACCAAUGGGCCGAUGAUACACCGAUUGAACAUGGUUUGGUUGUUAAUAUUGGUGACCUCCUUCAGGUUUGCAACAAAACACAACUUUUUUGUUCUCAUUUUUUCACAAACUAUUACUCAUCUCAAUCUGAUUUUGUCACAGAUCCUAUCAAAUGACAAGUUUGUGAGUGCAAUUCAUAGAGUUGUAGCGAAAAAGAUAGGACCAAGGAUUUCAGUGGCAUGCUUUUCAACGGAGUUUCUACCUCUCCAAAGCUGUAUGGUCCAAUCAAAGAGCUCAUAUCUGAAGAAAACCCCCCACUAUAUAAAGAUUUUCAAGUAGUUGAUUAUGUUACCAAGUUUUUCUCGAAGCCUCUCGAUAAGACUGGUCUUGAUCUUUUCAGACUGUGAAGAGAGUUAGAUCACCAUAAACCAUCAGAUAUAAGAACAAUGUCAGAGUUUGUGAUUUGCUGUACAAUAAAUGUCGUUUGUUUUUUCAAAUAAAGGAAUAAUAAUGUAUUGACUAUAAUCGUUCAUCCUCGUUUAGCAAUAUCGGAUCAGCUUUGUAUGAUAUCCAUUGUAUCUUUCAAUUUUUGUUAUUCAACUUUUAAGUUAGGAUCUUUUCACCAAUAUCAUCAUAGUAUGAUGACGAUGAUGUUGUUGUUCAACGUUCUUGCUUCUGCAUCUUUGCAAAAGUCAUGUGGGCAUUUAUGAUUUACAAAAACAUACCUAGUAAUUCCACUAGUGGAGUGUGGGAGGAGUAGAGUCUAUAGAGACCUUACGUUCUUUCCGAUAGACCCCUUAAGGAAAAGCAUACACUGAAAAAAAGAAGGAAAUAGUACGAUAAUCAGAGAACAAAUGACAGUAGAUAGUAACAGAAAUUUGACGAUAUGUAAAAGCUAUGAAAGAAAUACCAACUACUGAGGACAAGAAAUUAUAGGAGAAAUAUUACGACUACUAAUAAGGGAAGGAUAAGCAAUAUAAGCAGCCCAACACCGGACCCUGUAGUUGCUUGUUCCCUAUGAGUGUUUGUGUUCCCCUCUUCUCUUCAUUCCCAUUAUCUACGGAAAAAGGACCAAAAAUACCCCGAACUAUUGCAAAAGGUGUAAAUAAACACUUUGUUCAUCUGUUUUGCUAAAAGUAUCCUAUGAUAUAUUUUUGGCAACCAGUUGAACUUAUAAAAACAGAUGGGACAUAGAAUAAGAAUAUGAUAUAUUCAUAAAUGAUUCUUUCUUCUUUCAUCUUUCAUUCAAUUUAUUAUCUUACCCUUUAAUUGAGUAACAAAUUGGAGAAGAGGAAAGGUUAGGUAGUUUAGAGAGUCAGUAGGCAUUUAAAAAAUAAAUAAAGAAAUGAAAGGACUCUUGUCUGUAACACCUUCUCAAGAAAACCAAAAGUUUUAAAUAUUAAAAGUUGCCAUCAACAUUCUCUUUUUUCUUCCUACUUUACAUUUUUUAUUUUAUUAAAAAUAAGUAUGGGAAGUCAUUACAACUCUUUAUAAAAAUAUCUCAUUUUUUUGUGGAAAGGUAUUUUGGUAAUCCAACUUUUAACUUGGAGGUUUCACAAUUAUAAUAUAGUAUGACGAUGAUAUGAUGAUUAAAAAUUGAAUUGAUUAAUAUUUCUUACUACAACUACUCAAUUAUUUGUUAGGGGUUUUAUUUAAUAAACUGCUAUUAACAAAUGUUUAUUUUAUGGGAUGUUCAAUAUAUUUUGAAAAUUCAACCAUCUAAUUAGUAGUCUUUUCGUUCUAAGGCUGAAAUUAGCAAUGGAUUAUGAUCCAUCGGAUGAGAAAAAAGCUAUUGAUGAUGCAAAAGCUGGUGUUAAGGGACUAGUUGAUUCUGGAGUAGUCGAGAUUCCAAGAAUUUUCAUUAGGCCACCUCAUGAACUUGCUGAGGAGUUGAAUAUGUGCAAAUCAACUCUACAGGUUCCGGUGGUGGAUCUCAGUGACAUUGAAGUUGAAGAUGGGCGUAAGAAGAUUGUUGAUGAAAUAAGGGAAGUAUCUGAGAAAUGGGGCCUUUUCCAAGUGAUAAAUCAUGGGAUUCCUUCAAGUGUCUUGGAAGGAAUGAUCGAUGGGACUCGUAAAUUUCAUGAACAAGAUGUUGAAGUGAAGAAAGAGUACUAUUCGUCUGAUCCAACAGCCAGACAAGUUAGAUAUGAUUGCAAUCUUCAUGUGAACAAAACAAAAGGAAAGAUUGCAAACUGGAAGGAUACAUUAUACAUCUCUGAGCUAGUUUCUGGUCACAUUGAACCUGAAGAAAUACCACAAGUUUGCAGGUAACUCUGUAUUUUCUGCACUUGAAUUUCAAUUCUAUAUCUGUCCUGUUUGAUGCGUACACAGUGUUGAAGUUUUUGUAUUAAAUCUAAGGAUUUAUUGAGUAGAGGUCACUGCCUCAGUACAGUGUUCUAUCUUCAUUUCUAGUUGAUAUAUGGAUACAUGAUGCCAGUAGCAGAUCUAGAGUAUAACUUAGGGAUCACAGGAACUUAGUACCUUUUGCCCAAACCUUGUAUAUAAAUAUUUGACUGUGAAUCCAAUUAUUAAUGCAUAUCAACCUUGUCCUCAUGUAGUAAUCUCUGUAUUUUUCCUAAUGUCCAAGGAAAACAUCCGUUGAGUACAUAAAUCAUGUUGUAAAACUAGAAGAUAUUCUUCUUGGCUUACUAUCAGAAGCUCUCGGACUAAGGACAAACCACUUAAAAGACACUGAAUGUGACAAAAGACAGUUAAUGGUAUGCCAUUACUACCCGGCAUGCCCACAGCCAGAGCUAACUCUUGGUACCGAGAAGCAUACUGAUCCUGUUUUCGUUACCAUUCUGCUUCAAGAUCAGAAUGGUGGGCUCCAAGUCAUGUGUGAUAACCAAUGGACCGAUGUUACACCGAUUGAACAUGGUCUGGUUGUUAAUAUUGGUGACCUUCUUCAGGUUUGCAACAAAGCACAACUUUUUGUUCUCAUUUUUUCAUAAACUGUACUCAUCUCAAACUGAUUUUGUAACAGAUCCUAUCAAAUGACAAGUUUGUGAGUGCAAUUCAUAGAGUUGUAGCAAGAAAUGCGGGACCAAGGAUUUCAGUGGCAUGCUUCUUCAGCGGAGUUUCUACACCUCCUAAGACGUAUGGUCCAAUCAAAGAGCUCAUAUGGGAAGAAAAUCCCCCACUAUAUAAAGAAUUUCAAGUAGUUGAUUAUGUCACUAAGUAUUUCUCCAAGCCUCUUGAUAAGACUGGUCUUGAUCUUUUCAGACUGUGAAGAGAGACGUAGUCAGAAUUUGUGAUUCGCUGGACAAUAAUGUCAUCUUUCCUAUUCUGUUGUAUAUUUUCAAAUAAAAAGGGAUAAAUCUAAAGAACAUACUCCCUUAUGUAUCCUUCAUUUUGUUCCUCUAAUAAUAAUAAUGUAUGGGUUUUCAUCAUUCAUCCGCUUUUAGAAAAAUCGGAUCAUUUUCAUAUGAGAUCCAUUGGAUUUUCCAAGUGAUCAGUAUUCACUGCUGUUUUAAUAAGCCAACAAUCUAUUUUCAGGAUACAAUUGAAAGUGCUCUAGAAUUUGCAGCCUUUUUUUUCUCUGGUGUUUGUAAUCUUAAACCUUUGCUGGUGUUUAGUGAAUUUGUUGGUGAAAUACUACGUGGUAGGUGGUGAUUUUUUCCUUGCUUGAGCAAGAAGGUUUGCACUUAAACAUCAUGUGUUGAAAGGGGCUGUUGUACCAGUAUUAUGAGAAGGUGAAGGGAGAGUGUUUUGUACGCGUAUGUGCUUCUGGUUUUUUUGUCUUCUUGAUUAUAAUAAGGAACUUGAUAAUAAAAUGAAUAUAAUUAGGGGUUGAAUAAUACAACUUGCAACGUUUAUAAUAACUUGAUCAAUUGAUUAAUAUCAAUUAUUACAACCACUCAACUACUAUUUGUUUUUAAUGAACUGCUCUUAACAAAUCUUUGUUUUAUGCUAAAGGAAUAUAUUAUAAAAUUAUAAUGGGAUGUUUAAUAUGUUUAUGAAAACUAUGUUUUGAAAAUGCAACCAUCUAAGUAGUACUCUCUUUGUACCAAAUCUUGUAAACUUUCUCAAGUUGAAUUUAGCAAUGGAUUAUGAUCCAUCGGAUGAGAAAAAGGCUAUUGAUGAUACAAAAGCUGGCGUUAAGGGACUAGUUGAUUCUGGAAUAGUCGAGAUUCCAAGAAUUUUCAUUAGGCCACCUCAUGAACUUGCUGAGGAGUUGAAUAUGUGCAAGUCAACUCUACAGGUUCCGGUGGUGGAUCUAAGUGGCAUAGAAGCUGAAGAUCGGCGUAAGAUCAUUGUUGAUGAAAUAAGGGAAGUAUCUGAGAAAUUGGGCCUUUUCCAAGUGAUAAAUCAUGGGGUUCCUUCAAGUGUUUUGGAAGGAAUGAUUGAUGGGACUCGUAAAUUUCAUGAACAAGAUGUCAAAGUGAAGAAAGAGUACUAUUCGUCUGAUCCAACAACCAGACGAGUUAGAUAUGAUGGCAAUGUUCAUGUGUACAAAACAAAAGGAAAGACUGCACACUGGAAGGAUACAUUGUAUGUUGCUGGGCUAGUUUCUGGUCACAUUGAACCUGAAGAAUUACCAGAAGUUUGCAGGUAAACAAUGUAUCUUCAUUUCUAGUUGAUAUUUAUGGUAUUUUAUAACUUAGUAGUCUCUGAUAUUUUCUUAAAUGUCCAGGAAGGAAUACGUUGAGUACACAAAUCAUGUCGAUAAACUAGGGGAAAUUCUUUUUGGCAUACUAUCAGAAGGUCUUGGGCUAAAACCGGAUCAGUUGAAAGCUACAGAAUGUGCCAAAGAACAAGGGAUGGCAUGCCAUUACUACCCGACAUGCCCACAGCCAGAGCUAACUCUUGGUACUGGUAAGCAUACAGAUCCUGUUUUCCUUACGUUUAUCCUUCAAAAUCAGAUUGGUGGGCUCCAAGUCAUGUGUGAUAACCAAUGGGCGGAUGUUGAACCGAUUGAACAUGGUUUGGUUGUUAUUAUUGGUGAUCUCCUUCAGGUUUGCAACAAAACACAACUUUUUUGUUCUCAUUUUUUUCACAAACUGUUACUCAUCUCAAACUGAUUUUGUAACAGAUCCUAUCAAAUGACAAGUUUGUAAGUGCAACUCAUAGAGUUGUAGCAAAUAAGGUAGCAGAACCAAGGAUUUCAGUGAUAUUCUUCUUCAGUGGAGUUUCUACACCUCCAAAGAUGUUUGGUCCAAUCAAAGAGCUCAUAUCAGAAGAAAAUCCCCCACUAUAUAAACAAGUUCUAGUAGUUGAUUAUGUCUCAAAUUUUUUGUCCAAGCCACUUGAUAAGACUAGUCUUGAUCUUGUCAGACUCUGAAGAAUCGCUACGCGAAAAUGACCAUAAACCAUCAGAAAAGCCUAUCAUCAUUCAUACAGAACUAUGUCAUAGUUUGUGAUUUGCUGUAAAAUAAUGUUCAUUUUCAUGUUGAAGGAACUAUUGAAAGCAAUAGUGCUUUGAACUUUUAUGUGAAACUUUAUCACAAUGUAUUGGAGUUCCUCCUAGUUGUACUAGUAAAAUUGGGUAAAGCAUGCGAUUCUGUACUCAGGGGGGACUCGAACCCGAGACCUCUUGGUUAAAGAUGAAAGAGUACUUACCACUUCACCACAACCCUUGUUGGUCUUGCUCAUCUUUCAUUAUCCCAACAGUUAUACAUGAGUUUUUCACUCUCCUCUCAUACACGGUUUUAAACAUAUUCACUCCGUCCCUAUUUACUUGUCAAAUAUUUCCUCAUUUGAUUUCCCUUUUUACUUGUCAUUUUUGACAAAUCAAGGAAGGUCAAUUUUUUUCUUCCUAUUAUACCUCUCAAUUUAUUAAUAUUGAGUUAAUGAAUCAAUUAAUAGGGAUAAAAUGAUAAACUCACUAUAUCAAUCAUUGUUAUUAUUUUUAGGACAAAUUACAUAAAUCACAUACUUUUAAGGCAAAAUUACAAUCUAUCCCUUAAAAGUUUAUAAUUACAGAAAUCCCUCAAACGGAUACAAUAAUAUAAGAGCUGAUACAUUAAUCUGAUGUGCGAGAUACAUUAAUCGUUAAGUAAGAUACAUUACAUUUUAUAAACGAUACACUAAUCUGAUGCGCGAGAUACAAUAAUAUAAGCGCUGAUACAUUAAACUGAUGCGCGAGAUACAAUAAUAUAAGUGUUGAUACAUUAAUCUGAUGCGCGAGAUACACUACAUGAUACGCUAAUUUGAUGCGCGAGAUACAAUAAUAUAAGCGUUGAUAUAUUAAUCUAAUGCGCGAGAUACACUAAUCUGAUGCACGAAAAUGAGGGAUUUUGGAGAUUUAUAAAACUUAUAGGGGAUAAUGGUAAUAAGCAAACUAAAAGGUGGAUUUCUGUAAAUUUUCCUUUAAUAAGUGUGUCUAGUCAAAAUUUGUCAAGCAAAAAGGGACGGAGGGGGUAUUUUUCUAUCUCACUUCAUGGUUAUUGACUUAUAUUGCUAUUACGUAUUAAUAAUUGCUGCUAAAUUAAUUUGGAGCAAGACAUUAUUUUCUUCCUUUUAUCUUCGUGCAACUUACCAUCCAAAAAAUAAUUUAAAUAAUAAUAUUUAAUUAAAUAUAUACUUAAUUUAGUGUAGGAAUAAAUGGUAAUUCAACUUUGCACUUUGAAACUUCUCACUUUCAAUAAUACUAGUCUUUGUACCCCAUACCUCAAUAAAUAAAAACUCUUAUAAAGUUAAAUAAAUAUUAUUUUAAAAUGUAAUAUCAACUUAACCUCACUGAAUCCAUCUUACUAUUUUCUUCCUUUGAAAACAAGGGUGAAAUUAUAACAUUAUAAUAUUAGAGCGGUCUUGUGUGUAACUUUAAAACAAUGAACCAAACCUUCCAAAUAUAAUUUAUAAAAAAGCACAAAAAUGUCGAAUCAAAUGAAUUUGAUUCAUUUAAUAUAAGGUAAUCAGACUUAGUCAUGGUAGGACAAUGUAGAAGUCAUACUUGAUAUUUCUAACCUUAUGAAUUCAUCUUCCUCAAAAUUCUUUUUGGUGUUUCUAAAUAAAGUGAAGAUGUCAAACUUGCUAUACACUCUAUUGUUAAUCUCAGAUCAUAGAUAGACUAGUUUGAAAAAAAAAUAUUAAUGAUCAAAAUAGAAGAUGGAAAAAGAGGAGAAAAGAAGGAACUUUACCAUAGGAGUACGUAGAACUGCUAGUGGAAGAACCCAAGAUGACAAAUUCGCAUUUGGUAAUGGUAUAUAUUGAUUUAGCUGCAACUCUUCAUAUUUUUUAAUUUAAGAUUAAAAGGGGAAAAACCUUAAUUCAUGUACUUAUUUAAGAACAAUUAUUCAGUUUUAAUUAUUGGCAUAAUACAAAAUUGGACCCUAAACUUGGCUUCGAAUUUUAAGUAUGACCUCUAACUUUCAAAGUGCACAAGUAGGCACUUCAACUAUCCAAUUCUUAAACAAAAAAACACGCGAAUCCAACCUGACAUAACGCGUGAUUGAGACACAAUUCAGGCGCGUCAGGGGUAUUUUUCGAGGCCCACAACAGUAAAAAAAAAAGAAGCGGAAAUGACAAUUUUACCCUUAAUGAGGGGUCGAGGUAGGGGUGAAAAAAAAGAAAUUUUGAAGUUGAAAAUAUUUUUUUAAAAUAAAUUUCAAUUUUUUUUUGGGGUUGGAGGGGCUGGUAGGGGUUGGGUUGGGAAAAGAAAAUAUGACCCUACCCUUUUGUAAUUUAAUUUCUUUAUUUUUUAAUUAUAAAAUACGUGUAAUUUUUUAAUUACGUGACAGCCACUGAGUGGCUCAAUAAGCCACGUAAGAGCGUUUGUAUAUCACACAAUUUGGUUGUUGGAUUCGCGUGUUUUUUUGUUUAAGAAUUGGAUAGUUAAAGUGCCUACUUGUGCACUAUGAAAGUUAGAGGUCAUACUUAAAAUUUGAAGCCGAGUUUAGGGUCCAAUUUAUGUAUUAUGCCUUAAUUAUUUUACCAAUUACAUAUGACUCUAAAAUUCUAGAAGUUCUAAUUGACUCUUGUUCUUCUACAUAACCUUUCUAAUAAAUAACUUACCAUUCAAAAAUAAUUAAAAUAAUAUUAUUUAAUAAUUAAUUAACUAGAUGUUUAAUUUAGCUUAGGGGUAAAAUGGCAAUCCAACUUUUCAUCUUUGGAGCUUCCCACUUUUAAUAAUACUAGGUUUAUGACACGUUUGUUGCACGUGAUUACCAAUUUCAAAAUAUAUGUUAUAGUAAAUAGUAUUGCUUAUUUAAGCGAAGAUUUGAAUAAUACGCUUAGCAAAAAAUAAUAUUGUAGAUUCUUUUGUGAAUGUUCAACGUGGAUCGUCAUAUAUAUCUCUUAUUCACGCAAACCUAUGAAGAUGGUCAAUGAAAUUUUUUAUUACUUAAAUGCAAAAAUGUAUAUAUUUAUUUCAAUUUAAUGAGGUUCAAUCAUGUAAUUAGUUUUAUCUCACUAAUAUUACCCUAUAGACAAUAUUGGCUUUGUAUUUUUCUUGUCAUCUAACCAUAUGUUUAGAUAAAAAAACUCGGAACAUUUUAAAAUAAUAUAUUUUGAAGUUAGAAGAUCUUGUUAACUUGAUAAUACAUUUGUGACAUAUAAUACUUUAUUUUAUAUACAAAUAUCUUCCCAAAUAUAAAUAUAUAUUUGCAUUAAUGAAAAUAUUUAUCUAAUAAAAUUAACUAUUAAAUAAAUAAUAAAAAUUAAAGUAAUACAAACUUCAACUGGCAUUAUUAGUAGUCCUAUAAACUUUUCUUCGUCUAAAAUAUUGAAAUAUUAAGAAAUAGUAAAUAAGUAAAACAAAAGGGCAAUGUUUAUAUAGUAAUAACUAUUUUGAAGCAAACUUCAUGAGAGUCUAGAUCACAUAAGUAGCAUUGAUAAAUAAAAUCAUUCUUUUGUCUUUGAACAUCAAAAAUAAAUCGUGACAAUUCUCUAAAUUUUGGAAAAGAUAUUCAGAAGCACAUAUCUAUAUCACAAGAGAAAUUGUUAACAAAAACAAAUGAGUUUAGACUACAUCAUGUUAACUUCAUAUAUUGGAACAUUACAUACUAAUAUAUAUAUAAAGGAAAAAAAUAAUUAUUAUAUCAUCAAAAUUAUUUUUCUCAAGUACUCGAGGUUAUGGAAUAUACCCUCUUAGGAUAGAACGACUUACUUCAUCAGAAUAGUGGUACCUCAUAUUCCGCUAAACUUCGAACUCACUCAAAGAUAAUAAAUCACACAAAAAAAAUAUAAAAUGCAAGAAGAAGAAGAGUAGAAGAUUAAAAAAAUUGUGGUUGAAAAAUGAGAGGAAACCCUUCUAUUUAUAGUCAACAAAGGGUAGUAUGAACAAAAAAUUUUGUGUCUUAUCUGAAAAGUCAUGUCCUUUUUAAAAAGUCAUGACCCUUUGGAAAAGUUGCAACUUAUUGAAAAAGUCACAGCUCUUUGGAAAAGUCACAACUUAUUGAAAAAGUCACAACUCUUUGGAAAAGUCUCAACUCAUCGAAAAAUCACAACCCUUCGAAAAGAGUCACAACUUAUCGAAAAAGUCACAACUCAUCGAAAAAGUCACAACCUAAGUUAGGGAUAAUAUAGUAAUUUAACAUUCAAGUUAGGAGUUCAUGCUUUUAAGGUAAUAUAGAAUAGAUAUAGAUAUGAUAUAUGAUAUGAUGAUGAUAUGAUCAAGUUACACGAACAUUCCUUUGGAUAGGAUUUUCAUUAUAUAAGGGAUUGAAAUGUUUGAUUUUGAAAAGUAAGUAUAACAUUAAUAAUGUAUUUGUAUUGGAUUUGCGUAAUAUGGGGUGGAUUUGUAGUUGAGUCAUAUUAUAGGGGCAUUUAGUGUAAUUUACACGUAACUUAUACCAAUUAACUACCAUGUUUCAUUUAGUUUUCGGACGCUACAUUCAAUGAUUUUCAUUAAAUAUACACACGAAAAGGUUAAAGGAGGUUUAAAAUCUAUUGUAUAUAUAAAAAAAAUUAAUUUUAAUCAUGUAUAAAUGAUGUAAUUUUUCUUUGAAGGAGCUUUGAAUGAACCCCUCCAUCCUUGCUAGCUCCGCCUCUGUCUACAUUCAUUACCAACAAAAAUUAUAGACGGAUGGUAAGUACUUUUUUAAUCUUUUAGGAUAUUUCAGGUUUGAGUUCUAAUAUUAGAGAGUCACCUUUGAUAGUGUGAGUCGUAGUGGGACCAAAGUGAAUCUAGAUUAGUGGGACUCUAACAGAUUUGACAAAAUUGAUCUUUAUGUGACAACUAUAAGAGAUACUUUCUCUGUUUUAAUUUGUUUGUCUAACUUUUUUUUUCUAAUUUUUUAUUUUAAUUCUUUUUUUUUCUUUUUGACAACUCUUUAGUUUUAACUUUUCACAUGAUAUGUUUAUAACCACAAGAUUAAAAGGCAUUUUAGUAUAUAUACUAUACCAAAUAUGAUCUUUAACGACAAUAGCUUAAUUGCUACGAAAUAUAUUUUUAAAGAUAAUUAGCACUCUUUGCAAAUGUCCCUAAAGUCUACAGCGAUGUUGGAUCCAAUAACAAUUAACUAAUGUCGGUAAGAUUUAGCUCUUUUUGUUAAUAUGUAUAUAUUUAUCGCCGCAAAAAGCUAUUUUUGUCGUAGUGAUAGUGUUCUUUAAUUUUUUAAGGCAUAAUACGUAAACAUGACUCUUAACUUGGUUUCAGCGAACAAUUAUGCCCUCCAACUUUGAGUGUGGACAAGUAGACACUUAAACUUGUAUAAAAUUGAACAAGUAGACACACGUGUCCUACAUGGCAUAAUACAUGUAGGAUGCCACGUAAGACACAAAAUUACCAUGUAGGGUGUCAUUUAGGAGUUAGGACGAAUGUGUCUAUUUGUUCAAUUUUAUACAAGUUUAAGUGUCUAUUUGUGCUCACCCAAAGUUAAAGGUCAUAGUUGUCAGCUGAAGUCAAGUUAAGGGUCACAUUUAUGUACCAUGCGCCUUUUUUAAACUACAUGAGGGAAUAUUUCAUUUGAAAAAUUGCAUUUGUAAGCAUGUGUUGUCUAUAACUAACUAUUUCCUGAGAAAAAAAGUAGAUUUUUUGAAAAUAAGAACAACUAUGUCUGUUGCUGAAGAUUCUCAAGCUGAAUUAGCAAUGGAUUAUGAUCGAUCGAAGGAGAUAAAGGCUUUUGAUGAUACAAAAGCCGGUGUUAAGGGACUUGUUGAUGCUGGAAUUGUGGAAAUUCCAAGAAUGUUCAUUAGGCCAACUGAUGAACCUGCUGAGGUAUUGAUUCAGGGGAAGUCAACUCUACAGGUUCCAGUGAUUGAUAUCAGUGGCUUAGAAGUUGAAGAUGCGUGUAAGAAGAUUGUCGAUGAAAUAAGGGAAGCAUCAAAGAAGUGGGGCUUUUUCCAACUGAUAAAUCAUGGGGAAUGAUUGAUGGGACUCGUAAAUAUACUGUGUUCUUAGCUUUGCAGAAAAACUAAUAUGUGAUGCAGUGGUGUUGCUUGUUCCUUAUGAGUGUUCCGUGUUCGUGUUCCCCUCUUCUCUUCAUUCCCUUUAUCUGCGGAAAAAGAUCAAAAAUACCUUGAACUAUUGCAAAAGGUUUAAAUAUACACUUUGUUCAUCUGUUUUGCUAAAAAUAUCCUAUGAUAUAUUUUUGGCAACCAGUUGACUUGUAAAAACAGAUGGGAUAUAGAAUAAGAAUAUGAUAUAUUCAUAAAUAAUUCUUUCAUCUUUCAUUCAAUUUAUUAUCUUACCCUUUAAUUGAGUACUUGACAAAUUGGAGAAGAGGAAAGGUUAGGUAGUUUAGAAAGUCAGUAGGCAUUUUAAAAAAUAAAUAAAGAAAUGAAAGGACUAUUGUCUGUAACACCUUCCCAAAGAAAACCAAAAGUUUCCAUGAACAUUCUCUUUAGUCUUCCUAUUUCACAUUUAUCAAAAUAAUUUAAAGCUUAGUAAGUAUUGGAAGACAUUACAACCCUUUAUUAAAAAAUCUCAUUUUUUUUUGGUGGAAGGGUAUUGUUCCCGGUGACUUAAUCUGCUCAACAAAGAGAGAAGCGUCUUUCGAUCAGAACAUAAGCCCAACUAUAUUAUUGAACAAUUUCCUUGUAAAUACAUAUACAUGUACAGAUAUUUUAGAGCUAUGGAAAUAGUACAUGUGCUAUUUUUAUGCUAUGCACUAGGUAGGUACAUUAGUUUAUUUUAUUACCAUUCAAUCCCUAGGAAGUUCCUAUAUAUUUUGUUGUACAGCAGCUUUGUAGUCCCCAAGUUGAAGAAAUACAAAAUCCAGAAAAUUUCUCACGAUCCUUUCUAGUAUAUUUCUUUCAAUAUUUUGGUAAUCUAGCUUUUAACUUAGAGGUUUCGCACUUAUAAUAUAGAAUGAUGAUGUAUUAUCUAUAUCUAUAUUAUAUUAAAAUCACGAAAGUCGUUAAUGAACGUACACAAGCUUUCAUUUCAUGUUGUAGCUGAGUAAAAAUCAAAAGUCUCUCUUUUCUUUUCUUUCCUUGUCUGAAUAAACUUGUGCCUACCUUGAAAAUUCAACCAUCUAAUUAGUACUCUCUUUGUUCUCAGGCUGAAUGGAUUAUGAUCCAUCGGAUGAGAAAAAGGCUAUUGAUGAUGCAAAAGCUGGUGUUAAGGGACUUGUUGAUUCUGGAAUAGUUGAGAUUCCAAGAAUUUUCAUUAGGCCACCUCAUGAACUUGCUGAGGAGUUGAAUAUGUGCAAGUCAACUCAACAGGUUCCGGUCGUGGAUCUAAGUGGCAUACACGUUGAAGAUGGGCGUAAGAAGAUUGUUGAUGAAAUAAGGGAAGCAUCUGAGAAAUGGGGCCUUUUCCAACUGAUAAAUCAUGGGAUUCCUUCUAGUGUUUUGGAAGGAAU